GAUGAACGCUGGCGGCGUGCCUAAUACAUGCAAGUCGAGCGAAUGGAUUGAGAGCUUGCUCUUAUGAAGUUAGCGGCGGACGGGUGAGUAACACGUGGGUAACCUGCCCAUAAGACUGGGAUAUCUCCGGGAAACCGGGGCUAAUACCGGAUAACAUUUUGAACCGCAUGGUUCGAAAUUGAAAGGCGGCUUCGGCUGUCACUUAUGGAUGGACCCGCGGCGCAUUAGCUAGUUGGUGAGGUAACGGCUCACCAAGGCAACGAUGCGUAGCCGACCUGAGAGGGUGAUCGGCCACACUGGGACUGAGACACGGCCCAGACUCCUACGGGAGGCAGCAGUAGGGAAUCUUCCGCAAUGGACGAAAGUCUGACGGAGCAACGCCGCGUGAGUGAUGAAGGCUUUCGGGUCGUAAAACUCUGCUGUUAGGGAAGAACAAGUGCUAGUUGAAUAAGCUGGCACCUUGACGGUACCUAACCAGAAAGCCACGGCUAACUACGUGCCAGCAGCCGCAGUAA
Molecule: ribosomal RNA, 515 nt
Filed under: uncultured bacterium
Lineage: Bacteria
Description: partial 16S ribosomal RNA
Rfam family: Bacterial small subunit ribosomal RNA
Source: RNAcentral